AAAUCUUAGGCCUCAGGCAUUAAACGAUAGUGUGGUAGAGUUUCUUUGUUUGUCACAAGAUACUUAAAUUGAUAAAUUAUUAUGAACCACAUGUUUAAAUUUUGGGCUGGAACACAAGGCCUAGUAGACAUCACAACUUAAUUAGACCUUUAUGUCAUUUGUGAUGCAAGUUGAGAAAUAGUGGAAAUGAAUAGGAUGAUUCAAUCGAUCAAUCGUUUUUUAUGCUUAGAAUUAGACAAAAAACAUGUCGGCAAACACACUAUUUGAAUUUAUUGAUGUCGAGAGUUUUCGGUUUCAAAGCAUCACUGAUAGGCAAUGGAUUUUGGACGUAGUUCAGAUUCCUGGAUUCAAACAAAUUAACUCAUUCAAACAAAUUUAUUAAUGUGACACCCAAAUUCAAUUUAAAUUUAAAUGAAUAUGCAUGUGGAAAAUCAUGAAUAUAAAUAAAUAUUUAAUGUGAAAAUAAAGAAAUAAUCAUUUUAUUUAAAACACUUUACUCAUCAUAACAUCUUUAAGUAUAGACUAAAUUUAAAUAUUUGAUUCGCCUAUUCGACCUUCCACGCUCCUCCAACCUUUAAAAACCAGAAAAUGUUAAGUAUGAGAUGAGCAUACAGAGUACACUCAGUGUGGGAACAUGCAAUCAUUGUCCACGUUAAUAAAAUGGUAACACAUAUGAUCCAAUGUAACAUUCAUAAUUGAAAGUCGAACGGUGACAUACCAAGGAUCUUUAUCAUCCUGGACCAAUUAUGCUGGCCCUUGGCGACUAUGAUUGCAAUCAUAACUUUAACAUGUAUAUUGCAUUGCGGCAUACCAAGGAUCUUUACCAUCCUGGACCAAUUAUACUGGCCCAUAGCGAUAUUUAAUUUAACUCACAUAUGGUAAACACAGCAUGUAAUGAAAUAAAUCCCACACCUGAAACUUGAGCUUUGAAAAUUAACUUGAGUAAUUCAAAUCAAUGUCAACGUCUUAAUCGUGCCGCACCUAAUUCCAUAAAAUUAAAUAUAAUUUAAUAAUAACUAAAAAUAAUUACUACAUAAUUUAAUAAUAUAUGUAUAUGUAUAUAUAAUUUAAAACAAAAUAAAGAAGGUAAAUAUACCUUACUGUAUCCAAGCUUGCUCUUAAGUUGAUGGUC
This 1132-nucleotide long non-coding RNA is filed under the name Salvia miltiorrhiza (redroot sage). Its description in RNAcentral is "long non-coding RNA (SMIL_LNC007125)". Lineage: Eukaryota; Viridiplantae; Streptophyta; Magnoliopsida; Lamiales; Lamiaceae. The record is from RNAcentral.